AUUGAACGCUGGCGGCAGGCUUAACACAUGCAAGUCGAGCGGGGUGAUGGUGCUUGCACUAUCACUUAGCGGCGGACGGGUGAGUAAUGCUUAGGAAUCUGCCUAUUAGUGGGGGACAGCAUCUCGAAAGGGAUGCUAAUACCGCAUACGUCCUACGGGAGAAAGCAGGGGAUCACUUGUGACCUUGCGCUAAUAGAUGAGCCUAAGUCGGAUUAGCUAGUUGGUGGGGUAAAGGCCUACCAAGGCGACGAUCUGUAGCGGGUCUGAGAGGAUGGUCCGCCACACUGGGACUGAGACACGGCCCAGACUCCUACGGGAGGCAGCAGUGGGGAAUAUUGGACAAUGGGGGGAGCCCUGAUCCAGCCAUGCCGCGUGUGUGAAGAAGGCCUUAUGGUUGUAAAGCACUUUAAGCGAGGAGGAGGCUCUUUUGGUUAAUACCCAAGAUGAGUGGACGUUACUCGCAGAAUAAGCACCGGCUAACUCUGUGCCAGCCGCCGCGGUAA
This 503-nucleotide ribosomal RNA is filed under the name uncultured bacterium. RNAcentral describes it as "partial 16S ribosomal RNA". It matches the Rfam family "Bacterial small subunit ribosomal RNA", at positions 30 to 523 of the family's 1533-position model. The record is from RNAcentral.